Ceratotherium simum simum (southern white rhinoceros) is the source of this 489-nucleotide non-coding RNA. Lineage: Eukaryota; Metazoa; Chordata; Mammalia; Perissodactyla; Rhinocerotidae. The record is from RefSeq and is a predicted model, not a curated record.
CAAAACAGAUCUUGUUCCUCUUCCGUCUGUCGUCUUACUCUUAAUUAUAAAUCAUGGAGGAUAAAGAUAAGACAAUUGAACAUGAAGAUUCAGUACCAUCCACAGAGAUGAAUCACAUAGCCUCUGUAUAUCAAGAAACACAGGAGCAGACAGUUAUGAACCUCAAAGGCAUAGAUGGAAAUGAACCAACAGAAGGAAGUAACCUAUUGAAUAGUAGGAAAAAAGGCUGCAGGAAACACCAACUGAAUCAACUCAUUUGCAAAGACUAAGACAGAUAUUUGCUUGCCCUCCACAUGCUUUACUGGAUAGAGUAAUAACAAAUGUUACCAUCUUUGUUCUUCUGUGGGCUGUAGUUUGGUCAAUUGCCGGCAGUGAAUGUCUUCCUGGAGGAAACCUAUUUGGAAUUAUAAUCCUUUUCUAUUGUGCCAUCUUUGGAGGUAAACUUUUGGGACUCAUUAAGUUACCUACAUUGCCUCCACUGCCUCCUCU